Molecule: ribosomal RNA, 428 nt
Filed under: uncultured beta proteobacterium
Lineage: Bacteria; Pseudomonadati; Pseudomonadota; Betaproteobacteria
Description: bacterial SSU rRNA
Rfam family: Bacterial small subunit ribosomal RNA
Source: RNAcentral
AACGCGAAGAACCUUACCUACCCUUGACAUGGUUCGAAUCUGACAGAGAUGUUGGAGUGCUCGCAAGAGAACGGAUACACAGGUGCUGCAUGGCUGUCGUCAGCUCGUGUCGUGAGAUGUUGGGUUAAGUCCCGCAACGAGCGCAACCCUUGUCAUUAAUUGCCAUCAUUAAGUUGGGCACUUUAAUGAGACUGCCGGUGACAAACCGGAGGAAGGUGGGGAUGACGUCAAGUCCUCAUGGCCCUUAUGGGUAGGGCUUCACACGUCAUACAAUGGUGCAUACAGAGGGCAGCCAACCCGCGAGGGGGAGCCAAUCCCGCAAAGUGCAUCGUAGUCCGGAUUGGAGUCUGCAACCCGACUCCAUGAAGUUGGAAUCGCUAGUAAUCGCGGAUCAGCAUGUCGCGGUGAAUACGUUCCCGGGCCUUGUA